CCCAGGCGAGCAUCUGACAGCCUGGAGCAGCACACACAACCCCAGGCGAGCAUCUGACAGCCUGGAGCAGCGCCCACACCCCCAAGUGAGCAGGUGACAGCCUGGAGCAGUGCCCACACCCCCGGGCGAGCAUCUGACAGCCUGGAGCAGCACCCACACCCCCAGGUGAGCAUCCGACAGCCUGGAGCAGCACCCACACCCCCAGGUGAGCAUCUGACCGCAUGGAAUGGCAUCCUCACCUCCAGGUGAGCAUCCGACAGCCUGGAACAUAAUUCUCCAACCCCAGGUGAGCAUCUGACAGCCUGGAACAGCAUCCACACCCCCAGGUGAGCAUCUGACCGCAUGGAAUGGCAUCCUCACCUCCAGGUGAGCAUCCGACAGCCUGGAACAGAAUUCUCCAACCACAGGUGAGGAUCUGACAGCCUGGAACAGAACCCCACUCUUCCAGGUGAGAAUCUGACGCAUAAAACAGCACCCUGCAACCCCAGGUGAGCAUCUGACAGUCUGGAACAGCAUCCACACCCCCAGGCGAGCAUCUGACUGUAUGGAAUGACAUCCUCACAUCCAGGUGAGAAUAUGACAGAAUAAAGCAGCACCCUGCACCCCCAGUUGAGCAUCUGACAGCCUGGAACAGCACCCACACUCCCAGGUGAGCAUCUGACAGCCUGGAGCAGUACCCACACCCCCAGGUGUGCAUCUGACAGCCUGAAACAGCACCCUCCACCACCAGAUGAGCAUCUGACAACCAGAACCUGCACCACACACCCCAAGGUGGGCAUCCGAUGGCAUGGGACAGCACCCCCACUCACAGGUGAUGUGACUGCGUGGAACAGCACAUCCCCUCAGGUGAGCAUCUGACAGGAUAAAACAGCACCCCACAACCCCAGGUGAUCAUUUGCCAGCCAGGAACGGCAACCCACAUCCCCAGGUAAGUGUCUGACAGCCUAGAGCGGCACCUGCACACUUAGGUAAGAAUCUGAAAGCCUGGAUCAACACUCGAAUCUUCAGGUGAGCAUCUGACAGCCUGGAGCAGCAGUGCCCACCCCUGGGUGAGGAUGCUCACCUGAGGUUGGGAGUGCCAGUCCAGGCUGCCAGAUCCUCACCUGGGGAUGGAAGGUGCCAUUGUAGGUUUUUGGAUGUUCACAUGGGGGUUAAGGGUGGUGUUCCGGGUUAUCAGAUGCUCACCUGGGGACGCGUGGAAAACCAUGCCCACCACAAGGUGAGCAUAUGACAGCCCGGAACAACACCCUCCACCCCCAGGUGAGCAUCUGACAGCCUGGAACAGAACCCCACAACUUCAAAUAAGAAUUUGAUAAGUGGGAAAAAGCUCCCCGCCCUCAGGUGAGUGUCUGACAGCCUGGAACAGCACCCCACAACUGCAGGUGAGCAUCUGAUAGCCUGGAUAGGCACUCCACACAGCCAGGUGAGCAGCUGAAAGCCUGGAAUGGUAACCCACAUGCAGGUGAGCAUCCGACAGCCUGGAACAGCAGCUCACAUCCCCAGGUAAGAUUCCAACAGCAUGGAACAAGACCACUGCCCCCAGGUGAGCAUCUGGCAGCCUGGUAAAACAACCCCCUUCAGGUGAGCAUCCGACAGCCUGGAACAGCAGCUCACAUCCCCAGGUAAGAUUCCAACAGCAUGGAACAAGACCACUGCCCCCAGGUGAGCAUCUGGCAGCCUGGAAAAACAACCCCCUUCAGGUGAGCAUCUGACAGCCUGGAACAGCACCCUCCACCUUCAGGUGAGAAUAUGACAGCCUGAAACAGCACCCCACACCCCAGGCAAAAAUCUGACAGCAUGGAACAAGACCACUGCCCCCAGGUGAGCAUUUGACAGCCCGGGAAAGUACCCUCCAUGCACAGGUGAGCAUCUGACAGCCUGGAAACCCCCCCACUGCUUCCAGGUGAACAUCUGAUAGCCUGGAACAGAACCCCAGUUCUCCAAGUAAGGAUCUGAAAGCACGGAACAGCACUCUCACCCCCAGGGGAGCAUCUGACAACCUAGAACAGCACCCUCACCCCGAGGUGGGCAUCUGGCAGCAUAAAACAGCACCCCUACUGGCAGAUGAGCAUAUGACAGCGUGGAACAGCACCCACGCACCCAGGUGAGCAUCUGACAGCCUGGAACAGCACCCCACACCCCCAGGUGAGCAUCUGACAGCCUGGAACAGCACCCACACCCCCAGGUGAGCAUCUGACAGCCUGGAGCAGCACCCUACACCCCCAGGGGAGCAUCUGACAGUCUGGAGCAGCACCCACACCCCCAGGUGAGCAUCUGACAUCCUGGAACAGCACCCCACGCCCCCAGGUGAGCACCUGACAGCCUGGAACAGCACCCCACACCCCCAGGUGAGCAUCUGACAGCCUGGAACAGCACCCACACCCCCAGGUGAGCAUCUGACAGCCUGGAGCAGCACCCCACACCUCCAGGGGAGCAUCUGACAUCCUGGAACAGCACCCCACACCCCCAGUGAGCAUCUGACAACCUGGAGCAGCACCCCACACCUCCAGGGGAGCAUCUGACAUCCUGGAACAGCACCCCACACCUCCAGGGGGAGCAUCUGACAGCCUGGAGCAACACCCCACACCUCCAGGGGAGCAUCUGACAGCCUGGAACAGCACUCCACACCUCCAGGGGAGCAUCUGACAGCAUGGACAAGUCCUGCCCCCCGAACUCCAGCCCUUAAGAAAAUCAGAAGCCCUGGCAGGCACAUUGCCUCUGUGCUGUGCUUUUACCCAGCGAAGCAUCAGGGCAGACAGCCAAUUUCAACACUGCUCUUGGCUGGGAAGUGCCCUCAUCUCUGGCAGCCCCCACAGAGAAAGUGCAGGGCCCCGGGGCUGUGGCUGCCUCAGGGCAGGUCUCCCUUGUGACAGCCUCUUGUCAUGGGCCUGGGAGUGGACCCCUCCCAUCCCUGCCGUGCAUCCUGUUGAGUAGACAGCUCAGGCUAGUACCCAAGAGGGUGGCCAGCAGAUCACAGGGGAUGUCCCUUUUGUCUUAGCUGUUUAUGGGCUGGAGGAACCACUGUUCAGCCACAUCUCCUCUCCUGCCCCUCCUGCAUUCACCCGAGGUUGAUGGGAGCUCUGUGGGGGGAGACAGGCAGGGGAGGGGCCAGGCAACACCUGGGCAUAUCCCCAGGGUGCCUCCUCUGAUCCCCAGGAGGGGCAGCACCCACCCUCUUCUUUUUCCAAUUUGUUUUUAUUGUGGUUAAAUAUACAUAACGUAAAAUUUA
This 3229-nucleotide long non-coding RNA is filed under the name Homo sapiens (human). RNAcentral describes it as "HSALNT0289823". The record is from RNAcentral. Lineage: Eukaryota; Metazoa; Chordata; Mammalia; Primates; Hominidae.